AUUGAACGCUGGCGGCAUGCCUUACACAUGCAAGUCGAACGGCAGCACGGGGGCAACCCUGGUGGCGAGUGGCGAACGGGUGAGUAAUGCAUCGGAACGUGCCCAGUAGUGGGGGAUAACUAUCCGAAAGGAUAGCUAAUACCGCAUACGCACUAAGGUGGAAAGCGGGGGAUCGCAAGACCUCGCGCUAUUGGAGCGGCCGAUGUCGGAUUAGCUAGUUGGUGGGGUAAAGGCUCACCAAGGCGACGAUCCGUAGCUGGUCUGAGAGGACGACCAGCCACACUGGGACUGAGACACGGCCCAGACUCCUACGGGAGGCAGCAGUGGGGAAUUUUGGACAAUGGGGGGAACCCUGAUCCAGCCAUGCCGCGUGUGUGAAGAAGGCCUUCGGGUUGUAAAGCACUUUUGGCGAGAACGAAACGGCGCUGGUUAAUACCUAGCGCUAAUGACGGUACUCGCAGAAUAAGCACCGGCUAACUACGUGCCAGCCGCCGCCGUAA
RNAcentral lists this ribosomal RNA (500 nucleotides) under uncultured bacterium. RNAcentral describes it as "partial 16S ribosomal RNA". It matches the Rfam family "Bacterial small subunit ribosomal RNA", at positions 29 to 523 of the family's 1533-position model. The record is from RNAcentral.